CCUACGGGAGGCUGCAGUGGGGAAUAUUGGACAAUGGGCGAAAGCCUGAUCCAGCCAUGCCGCGUGUGUGAAGAAGGCCUUCGGGUUGUAAAGCACUUUCAGUGGGGAAGACAGCCUUGGGGCUAAUACCCUCGAGGAAGGACAUCACCCACAGAAGAAGCACCGGCUAACUCCGUGCCAGCAGCCGCGGUAAUACGGAGGGUGCGAGCGUUAAUCGGAAUUACUGGGCGUAAAGCGCGCGUAGGCGGUCUGAUAAGCCGGUUGUGAAAGCCCCGGGCUCAACCUGGGAACGGCAUCCGGAACUGUCAGGCUAGAGUGCAGGAGAGGAAGGUAGAAUUCCCGGUGUAGCGGUGAAAUGCGUAGAGAUCGGGAGGAAUACCAGUGGCGAAGGCGGCCUUCUGGACUGACACUGACGCUGAGGUGCGAAAGCGUGGGUAGCAAACAGGAUUAGAUACCCGUGUAGUC
This 465-nucleotide ribosomal RNA is filed under the name Vreelandella stevensii. RNAcentral describes it as "partial 16S ribosomal RNA". It matches the Rfam family "Bacterial small subunit ribosomal RNA", at positions 338 to 795 of the family's 1533-position model. The record is from RNAcentral. Lineage: Bacteria; Pseudomonadati; Pseudomonadota; Gammaproteobacteria; Oceanospirillales; Halomonadaceae.